RNAcentral lists this ribosomal RNA (927 nucleotides) under uncultured bacterium. RNAcentral's name for it is "bacterial SSU rRNA". It matches the Rfam family "Bacterial small subunit ribosomal RNA", at positions 58 to 1011 of the family's 1533-position model. The record is from RNAcentral.
CAUGUCGAACGAGGACUUCGGUCCUAGUGGCGAACGGUCGCGUAACACGUAAGCAACCUGCCCUGAAGUGGGGGACAACAUCCCGAAAGGGGUGCUAAUACCGCAUGUGGUCACGAGUCGGCAUCGACUUGUGUCUAAAGAUUUAUCGCUUCAGGAUGGGCUUGCGGCCUAUCAGGUAGUUGGUGGGGUAAUGGCCUACCAAGCCGACGACGGGUAGCUGGUCUGAGAGGACGAUCAGCCGGAUUGGGACUGAGAUACGGCCCAGACUCCUACGGGGGGCAGCAAUUAGGAAUCUUGCGCAAUGGGGGAAACCCUGACGCAGCGACGUCGCGUGAAGGAUGAAGGCCCUCGGGUCGUAAACUUCUUUUGAGUGGGAAGAAAUUUGACGGUACCACUCGAAUAAGCCCCGGCUAACUACGUGCCAGCAGCCGCGGUAAUACGUAGGGGGCGAGCGUUGUCCGAAGUUACUGGGCGUAAAGCGCGCGUAGGCGGUUAUUCAAGUCUGGGGUGAAAGGUUCAGUGCUCAACGUGAACAGUGCCUUGGAUACUGGAUGACUUGAGUCUGGGAGGGGGAAGGGGAAUUCCUGGUGUAGCGGUGAAAUGCGUAGAUAUCAGGAGGAACACCGGUGGCGAAGGCGCCUUCCUGGCCUAAGACUGACGCUGAGGUGCGAAAGCGUGGGGAGCAAACGGGAUUAGAUACCCCGGUAGUCCACGCCGUAAACGAUGAGUGCUAGGUGUCGGGGGUAUCGACCCCCCCGGUGCCGUCGCUAACGCAUUAAGCACUCCGCCUGGGGAGUACGGCCGCAAGGUUGAAACUCAAAGGGAUUGACGGGACCCCGCACAAGCGGUGGAGCAUGUGGAUUAAUUCGUCACUAACUCGAGAACCUUACCCAGGUUUGACAUCGAGGGCAAGGUCAUGAAAGUGAU